UAGUACUCUUUCUCCUUAAGGGUAUCACGACCAUUCUUCGCCUCUCUCUUUGCUAGCUUGCUUUUUCCUUUGCUGUUGUUCGCUCACUUUUCUGGUAUUUAGCGAAAUAAUUCGCAUGCCAGACUGUACGCAACGCAGACCCCGUCGACCGAAGAUCGCAUUUACUCGUAACUCAGCGGCAAACACGAAAGUGUUCAGUUGUGAUCGGAAUUAUUAAUUAAUAUUCUUGCACCUUCCGAAACUGUGUCGGGAAUCAGGCCAUAAACUAGUGCACAAUCGAUGGGAUGGGAGUACGAUGAGCGAUGGAUGAGUAGGGGACCGACCGCGACCGCGAACGAGGACAGUCCCCAGGUCCAUGUUAACGUCCAUGUCCAAUAUGGCAGGCAGGUCCGCAGUCAUGACCGUGACACAGGAGAAAAAAGCAAGAGAUGAUGGAAGCGGGGAACGGGAGGAGUAGGUGAAGUGGGUAUAGGAAGAAGGAGUAGCACAAGCAGCAAAAAACAAAAGAUAAACAAACAGAAAUGAGAUCGACCACAAGAGCUUCUGUAAAAAAGAGCGUCGCCCUAACUGUUAAAAACAACAAGUCAAGGGCUUCCCAUAUGCGCCCGCAUCUCUUUAAAAAGUCUUGCUCUGAAUCAAUAUGCACGAAUUUAAGGUGAGCUCCCCGUCCCGUUUUAAGAAGGCGCUCUCCCAAAAUCCGCAGAUUUCGUUUUAGCUCUGUUUAGUCAUAGACAUUCUAAGAGAGAGAGAGAGGCGGACACAACAAGCAUCACCUAAUGCAUAAUGUGACAAAAGUGUUGGUGCGCUCCCGAAACGCACCGCUACAAAGAGAGUAGCAUCAGUUAGCAUCGCAGCUAAAAGUGGAGAGAGCGAAAAUGUAAGCAGAAUGGCGGAAGAAGUGACGCUGAAAUGAACUAAUUUUCAUAAAAAAUAACAAAACAAUGUGGAAAGUGCUUGAAAGUAUUCCAAAUCAUUAAUACAGUGUUAGAGAUGUUACAAAGUAAUCCACACAUCCCCUAACAGAUGGAAGAGCGGCACUGUUGAUAUGAAGAGAUGGUACAAUGCUAGUGGGCGCUUAAGAGAAAAAACUUACGCUUGCCGAAUUUGCAUUUUCCGAAUCAAUUGUCAUUGCCAAAGAUGGAAAACCUUCGCAUUUGUCACUGGAAAACGAAGAUUGCUAUCGAACUGAAGCCCAAGGCAUAGUUACAAAAGG
Molecule: long non-coding RNA, 1213 nt
Organism: Drosophila guanche
Lineage: Eukaryota; Metazoa; Arthropoda; Insecta; Diptera; Drosophilidae
Exons: 3
Source: RefSeq, a predicted model, not a curated record